This 301-nucleotide ribosomal RNA is filed under the name uncultured Methanolinea sp. RNAcentral describes it as "bacterial SSU rRNA". It matches the Rfam family "Bacterial small subunit ribosomal RNA", at positions 494 to 795 of the family's 1533-position model. Lineage: Archaea; Methanobacteriati; Methanobacteriota; Methanomicrobia; Methanomicrobiales; Methanoregulaceae. The record is from RNAcentral.
CGGCUCAUCCCGGGCCAUCAGCGGCGGUAAUACGGAGGAUCCAAGCGUGAUCCGGAAUCAUUGGGUUUAAAGGUUCCGUAGGCGGCCUUAUAAGUCAGCGGUGAAAGUUUUUGGCUUAACCGAAAAAUUGCCAUUGAUACUGUAGGUCUUGAAUUAUUGUGAAGUAACUAGAAUAUGUAGUGUAGCGGUGAAAUGCUUAGAUAUUACAUGGAAUACCAAUUGCGAAGGCAGGUUACUAACAAUGGAUUGACGCUGAUGGACGAAAGCGUGGGUAGCGAACAGGAUUAGAUACCCGAUAGUC